RNAcentral lists this ribosomal RNA (402 nucleotides) under uncultured bacterium. Its description in RNAcentral is "bacterial SSU rRNA". It matches the Rfam family "Bacterial small subunit ribosomal RNA", at positions 355 to 774 of the family's 1533-position model. The record is from RNAcentral.
UGGGGAAUAUUGGACAAUGGGCAAAAGCCUGAUCCAGCCAUGCCGCGUGAGUGAUGAAGGCCCUAGGGUUGUAAAGCUCUUUCACCGGUGAAGAUAAUGACGGUAACCGGAGAAGAAGCCCCGGCUAACUUCGUGCCAGCAGCCGCGGUAAUACGAAGGGGGCUAGCGUUGUUCGGAGUUACUGGGCGUAAAGAGUGCGUAGGCGGCGAGCCAAGUUUGGUGUGAAAUCUCCCGGCUUAACCGGGAGGGUGCGCCGAAAACUGGUUGGCUGGAGUAUGGGAGAGGAAAGCGGAAUUCCUGGUGUAGCGGUGAAAUACGUAGAUAUGCGGAGGAACACCGAUGGCGAAGGCAAUCCCCUGGGCCUGCACUGACGCUCAUGCACGAAAGCGUGGGGAGCAAACA